Molecule: ribosomal RNA, 1705 nt
Filed under: Staphylococcus aureus M0715
Lineage: Bacteria; Bacillati; Bacillota; Bacilli; Caryophanales; Staphylococcaceae
Description: bacterial LSU rRNA
Rfam family: Bacterial large subunit ribosomal RNA
Source: RNAcentral
ACAAUGGUAGGAGAGCGUUCUAAGGGCGUUGAAGCAUGAUCGUAAGGACAUGUGGAGCGCUUAGAAGUGAGAAUGCCGGUGUGAGUAGCGAAAGAUGGGUGAGAAUCCCGUCCACCGAUUGACUAAGGUUUCCAGAGGAAGGCUCGUCCGCUCUGGGUUAGUCGGGUCCUAAGCUGAGGCCGACAGGCGUAGGCGAUGGAUAACAGGUUGAUAUUCCUGUACCACCUAUAAUCGUUUUAAUCGAUGGGGGGGACGCAGUAGGAUAGGCGAAGCGUGCGAUUGGAUUGCACGUCUAAGCAGUAAGGCUGAGUAUUAGGCAAAUCCGGUACUCGUUAAGGCUGAGCUGUGAUGGGGAGAAGACAUUGUGUCUUCGAGUCGUUGAUUUCACACUGCCGAGAAAAGUCUCUAGAUAGAAAAUAGGUGCCCGUACCGCAAACCGACACAGGUAGUCAAGAUGAGAAUUCUAAGGUGAGCGAGCGAACUCUCGUUAAGGAACUCGGCAAAAUGACCCCGUAACUUCGGGAGAAGGGGUGCUCUUUAGGGUUAACGCCCAGAAGAGCCGCAGUGAAUAGGCCCAAGCGACUGUUUAUCAAAAACACAGGUCUCUGCUAAACCGUAAGGUGAUGUAUAGGGGCUGACGCCUGCCCGGUGCUGGAAGGUUAAGAGGAGUGGUUAGCUUCUGCGAAGCUACGAAUCGAAGCCCCAGUAAACGGCGGCCGUAACUAUAACGGUCCUAAGGUAGCGAAAUUCCUUGUCGGGUAAGUUCCGACCCGCACGAAAGGCGUAACGAUUUGGGCACUGUCUCAACGAGAGACUCGGUGAAAUCAUAGUACCUGUGAAGAUGCAGGUUACCCGCGACAGGACGGAAAGACCCCGUGGAGCUUUACUGUAGCCUGAUAUUGAAAUUCGGCACAGCUUGUACAGGAUAGGUAGGAGCCUUUGAAACGUGAGCGUUAGCUUACGUGGAGGCGCUGGUGGGAUACUACCCUAGCUGUGUUGGCUUUCUAACCCGCACCACUUAUCGUGGUGGGAGACAGUGUCAGGCGGGCAGUUUGACUGGGGCGGUCGCCUCCUAAAAGGUAACGGAGGCGCUCAAAGGUUCCCUCAGAAUGGUUGGAAAUCAUUCAUAGAGUGUAAAGGCAUAAGGGAGCUUGACUGCGAGACCUACAAGUCGAGCAGGGUCGAAAGACGGACUUAGUGAUCCGGUGGUUCCGCAUGGAAGGGCCAUCGCUCAACGGAUAAAAGCUACCCCGGGGAUAACAGGCUUAUCUCCCCCAAGAGUUCACAUCGACGGGGAGGUUUGGCACCUCGAUGUCGGCUCAUCGCAUCCUGGGGCUGUAGUCGGUCCCAAGGGUUGGGCUGUUCGCCCAUUAAAGCGGUACGCGAGCUGGGUUCAGAACGUCGUGAGACAGUUCGGUCCCUAUCCGUCGUGGGCGUAGGAAAUUUGAGAGGAGCUGUCCUUAGUACGAGAGGACCGGGAUGGACAUACCUCUGGUGUACCAGUUGUCGUGCCAACGGCAUAGCUGGGUAGCUAUGUGUGGACGGGAUAAGUGCUGAAAGCAUCUAAGCAUGAAGCCCCCCUCAAGAUGAGAUUUCCCAACUUCGGUUAUAAGAUCCCUCAAAGAUGAUGAGGUUAAUAGGUUCGAGGUGGAAGUAUGGUGACAUGUGGAGCUGACGAAUACUAAUCGAUCGAAGACUUAAUCAA